This 62-nucleotide transfer RNA is filed under the name Limois sp. WW-2021a. RNAcentral describes it as "tRNA-His". Lineage: Eukaryota; Metazoa; Arthropoda; Insecta; Hemiptera; Fulgoridae. The record is from RNAcentral.
GUCUAUUUAGUUUAAUAUAAAAUUUUGAAUUGUGAUUUCAGUGAUCUCUAUGAGGAUAGGCU